UCUCCCGCUUCUCCUCCCUGAGCGGGGCCAGGUCGUACUAUGCGAUAUGGCGUUCUUGCCCUGGAGAUACUCCCCUUUCUCCAGGGUUUUUUUAU
This 95-nucleotide non-coding RNA is filed under the name Herminiimonas arsenicoxydans. RNAcentral's name for it is "Burkholderia RNA 7 (anti-hemB)". It matches the Rfam family "Burkholderia RNA 7 (anti-hemB)". From Rfam's summary of the family: This RNA motif was identified by computational search in b-proteobacteria Burkholderia. Co-purified with Hfq, expression confirmed by Northern blot. Putative functional homologue of SP-RydB and predicted target hemB. The record is from Rfam by way of RNAcentral. Lineage: Bacteria; Pseudomonadati; Pseudomonadota; Betaproteobacteria; Burkholderiales; Oxalobacteraceae.